This 1020-nucleotide ribosomal RNA is filed under the name Triticum aestivum (bread wheat). RNAcentral's name for it is "partial small subunit ribosomal RNA". Lineage: Eukaryota; Viridiplantae; Streptophyta; Magnoliopsida; Poales; Poaceae. The record is from RNAcentral.
AUGGCGAGCCUCACCUUGCCGCCGGCGCCCCCGAACCCGCGCCAGGACGCCAUCGACCUCCACAAGGCCUUCAAAGGGUUUGGCUGUGAUAGUACAACAGUUUCAAAUAUACUUUCUCACCGUGACUCAAUGCAACGUGGAUACAUUCAACAGGAAUACAAAACUAUGUAUUCUGAGGAACUUUCACAUCGUAUAUCGUCUGAACUCAGUGGAAACCACAAGGUAUGGAAAAUUGUAGAAAAAUCUUUAUUGCAUGAUAAAUCAAACUAUUGCACAGCUAUACUAGCUGAAGAGAAAGCACUGUCGCUCUGGAUUCUUGAUCCUGCUGGACGUGAUGCGACUGUUCUGAAAGAAGCUCUAAGUGCUGAAAGUCUUGAUCUGAAAGCAGCUACUGAUAUAAUUUGUUCCAGGACACCAUCACAGCUGCAAAUAAUGAAACAGACAUAUUAUGCAAAGUUUGGUACUUAUCUUGAGCAUGACAUUAGUCAGCAAGCAUCCGGCGAUCAUCAGAAGAUCUUACUAGCCUAUGUUGGCAUUCCACGCUACGAAGGCCCGGAGGUUGAUCCCACUAUAGUGACACAUGAUGCGAAGGACCUCUACAAAGCUGGUGAGAAAAAGCUGGGCACAGAUGAGAAAACCUUCAUCCGCAUCUUCACUGAGCGCAGCUGGGCACACAUGGCAGCUGUUGCUUCUGCUUACCGUCACAUGUAUGAUCGGUCGUUACAGAAGGUUGUGAAGAAUGAAACAUCUGGAAACUUUGAAGUUGCUCUGUUAACUAUCCUCAGAUGUGCUGAGAAUCCAGCGAAGUAUUUUGCUAAGGUGUUGAGGAAGUCCAUGAAAGGUCUAGGUACUGAUGACAAGACACUUGUAAGGGUUGUGGUAACAAGGACUGAGAUUGAUAUGCAGUAUAUCAAGGCAGAAUAUUACAAGAAAUACAAAAAGCCGUUGGCUGAUGCUAUCCAUUCCGAAACAUCAGGCGGUUAUCGGACGUUCCUGCUUUCUCUUGUUGGUAGCCAUUAG